AGUCUAACACAUUCAUGUGUUACUCUGAAGCGUGGGCACAUGUAUGAACAUAUCUAUGUGUAAUGCUGGUUUUAUCAGUAUAUGCUAUGUUUGUGAGUGGUAGACUAAAAAGGUACAGAUGUGUGGAAACCUCAUAUUUUACCUAGUAAUGGGCGUUCAGCACGCUUCAGGUUGAAGUGUGGCUGUACAUAUAAAGAAUGGCAGGUGACAGGUGAGUCAGUGGAUCAACUUAUCGGUGAAAGAUUUUGCUGAACUCCGCAAUUCUCUGAAGUUUUGCUAACGUUUUGAAAUGUUUGGAAAGGGACACAGCCAUCACGGACAUGGCCACCACGACCAUGGGCACCAUAAACAUGGCCACCACGGCAAGCAUGAGCAUGGACAUGGUGAUCACCAUGGGGGACAUGGUGGUGGCCAUGAGGGACACGGCCACCAUGGCCACCAUGAGCACGGACACGGUGGCGGCCAGCAGUGGCGUGUCUAGAAGAUUUUUGUUGGGGGGGCCAGGCCGCAUCCUUCGGAGGACCCGGCCUAUUGACCACUGUCAGCAGGUCUACCUCCCGAUGAGCCGAUUGUCAGAUUGGCCGCAGACGAAGACCCCCUGACAAGUGUACAGUCUGCCUUGUACCACAUGGGGGCGCCAUGCUCAAACACAGUACGGCCAAACGUAUUCAGUGUUGUACUUUGCAUCCCAGCUGUGGCUUACCUCACCUGGCUGAAUGUGGACAUGACAUCAUCUUAAAGUUCAGCACAAAAAUACUCACAGACGGUGAACGUCCUGAUGUUACUGUAAUUAAACCUGUUCAUCUUUGCUGUUAACGAUAAUUUAAAUAGUGAUAAUAUUAGUAAAUAUACCAACGUUAGUAAAAAUACAGAAUAACUUUGAUCAGCUGUGGAGUUACCUGCUGUACAGGUUGGCCUGUGUUUAAAAGGUUUUAACGGUUAAUGACUGGUUUCCAGUUUAUUCAACAGAUUCAUCAGUGAUUAGACUGAGACUAAAGUUCAAUUAUACAAACUUCCUUCCUUCUUCCUACCUUAACUUCCUAACUCCGUUAUUCAUUUCUUUCCUUACUUUUG
Long non-coding RNA from Oreochromis niloticus (Nile tilapia), 1074 nucleotides. RefSeq lists it as uncharacterized. The record is from RefSeq and is a predicted model, not a curated record. The transcript has 4 exons. NCBI's taxonomy places the organism in Eukaryota, Metazoa, Chordata, Actinopteri, Cichliformes, Cichlidae.